UGGGAAGUAUUGCAUCAAUGGCAGGCAAGCCAUGACUGCAGCCAUGCCGCGCUGUAUGAAGAAGGCCAAUUCGGGCUUUGGUUAAAGAUACUUUCAGCGAGGAGGAAGGUGUUGUGGUUAAUAACCGCAGCAAUUGACGUUACUCGCAGAAGAAGCACCGGCUAACUCCGUGCCAGCAGCCGCGGUAAUACGGAGGGUGCAAGCGUUAAUCGGAAUUACUGGGCGUAAAGCGCACGCAGGCGGUCUGUCAAGUCGGAUGUGAAAUCCCCGGGCUCAACCUGGGAACUGCAUCCGAAACUGGCAGGCUAGAGUCUUGUAGA
RNAcentral lists this ribosomal RNA (320 nucleotides) under uncultured Enterobacteriaceae bacterium. Its description in RNAcentral is "bacterial SSU rRNA". It matches the Rfam family "Bacterial small subunit ribosomal RNA", at positions 355 to 655 of the family's 1533-position model. Lineage: Bacteria; Pseudomonadati; Pseudomonadota; Gammaproteobacteria; Enterobacterales; Enterobacteriaceae. The record is from RNAcentral.